UACGUAGGGGGCAAGCGUUGUCCGGAUUUAUUGGGCGUAAAGAGCGUGUAGGCGGCCAGACAGGUCCACUGUGAAAACUCGAGGCUCAACCUCGAGAGGUCGGUGGAAACCGUCUGGCUAGAGUCCGGAAGAGGAGAGUGGAAUUCCCGGGUGUAGCGGUGAAAUGCGCAGAUAUCAGGAGGAACACCGGUGGUGUAGACGGCUCUCUGGACCGUAACUGACGCUGAGACACGAAAAGCGUGGGUAGCAAACAGG
Molecule: ribosomal RNA, 255 nt
Filed under: uncultured bacterium
Lineage: Bacteria
Description: partial 16S ribosomal RNA
Rfam family: Bacterial small subunit ribosomal RNA
Source: RNAcentral